GUCCAAGCUCCCCAGCCAUGUAUCCCACCUCUUCUCUCUUUAGGCAUUCCCCAGCACCCGCCGCCCUCCCGAGGGCCUCCCCAGCCGGGCUUCGUGGUGGGGACAUCAGAUAAUAGUAGGUAGGAGCCGGCUUCCAGGAUUCAGAUCCUAGUUCAGCUGCUGCUGACUGGCUGUGUGAUGGAGGAUGAGUUCACCCCAGCCUCAGUUUUCUCAUCUGUCGAAUGGGAUUACAGUCCCUACCACACAGGUAACUUAACUGCGUUAACUUUAGUGAAGCACUUACAAGAGUGUGAGCUAUCGCUAACUUAAUCAUCCCCAGAAAUCCUGUAAGACGGGACUGUCAACCCUGCUUGACAGACGAGGAUAAGUCAUUCCCUCAGCCUUCUGCGGUUCCAGGACGGUAGACAACAUCACAAGAAAUGUAAACACGGUAGCUAAAUGCUGAGCAGGAGGGAAGCAAAGAGGUUGCCUCAGGUCAGCGUGGGUCUGUUAAGAAAGCCUCCUCCUCCCCUUCCCCACCACCUGCCCCCACCCCCUGCACUGCAGAAGCUGACCAGGUAUUUAGCCCCGGGCUCUAGGGCUUAAGAAGCCUCAAGGGAAAGACCACUAGCAGCUACUGGCCGCCAGGAAGGCCCAUAUAAAGCUCGGUGAGGAGCCUGAACUUGAUCCCAAGGGAGGGGCCGGGGAAGGCCCAUGUGUGUGACAAGGGUAGGUCUGUCUAGCUCCCGGGCAGGGAGUGACUGGAGGACCAGCAAGAAACAAGUUCGGCAGACAUUUGGGUGAGGCGAAGGCGGCCUAGGUGGCCCUGAAUCACUUCCUCUCCGAGGGCUGCUUCCCUCUCCUGCCCAGACAGGGCCAACUCAGCCAGGCCUCCAAGCUCCCUUCCACAUCUGCCCGCACCCACCCCACCCCCCCCCCACCCCCCCGCAGAACUCAUCCCGCCCCCUUCACCCUGGCUUCCACCAAACCCUCCCUCCCUCGAGCCGCACAGCACCGCAUCUGUUUGGGGUUCAAUGCCCACUCCGGCCUCUCCCUAAUCAGGUUCGAUGGGCUGGCUAUAAUUUUUCCUAAUGCACUCUGAAAAUCUGUAUAUUUUUACAAUAAAGAUGUUCACCUCUGCACACCCAAAGCCAUUAUCUACCUCCCGAGGGAAACGCUGGCCGAGGAAGACCUCCGCAGCCUCUUGUGCCCCCUGCAUCUCCCUGCUGCACUCCUGGAAACCGAGAACCUGGGCUGCCUCCCCUCCCGCUUCCCAACUUCCCUCCAUCUGGACCGCCCUUGGUCAGACUGUUCCUGCUCACACAGUAAAAAUUUAAAUGCAGCAACAGGGCGUUUAUCCACAGCUGACCACGUAAGUGGCAUUUUCUGUUGUCACGAAGCCACAUCCCACUGCUAAGCUUGCCUACGCACGAGGAUGAUGAUUAAGGAAGAAGGGCUGAUCCCAUUUUCUUAUUCAUCCCCCAAAAAACCAGACUGCCAAGUAGAAUGACUGUCAGCCUCCUUUGGGGAGACGCCCUUACCUGCUGGCUUCAAGGAGUAUCUCCCUGGCAGCCAGAUUCCCAUUAACACAUAACGCAGAGCCUCACGCAAAACAGGCUUUACUGAGAGAGGGGCUGGUGGGAGGAGACCUGCAGUCAGGAAUCCGGAUUCUGUGCCCAGCGCUGUUGCCAACACCGUCCAUCCUCCCAGAGCCUCGUCCAUCCUCCCAGAGCCUCGUCCAUCCUCCCAGAGCCUCCGUCCAUCCUCCCAGAGCCUCGUCCAUCCUCCCAGAGCCUCCGUCCAUCCUCCCAGAGCCUCCGUCCAUCCUCCCAGAGCCUCGUCCAUCCUCCCAGAGCCUCCGUCCAUCCUCCCAGAGCCUCUGGAGUUUCUGUAACUUGGGACUCUGUGCUUGAGUGGGGAGGGGUCCCUUCCAGCUCUGACAGACUGAGAAAGAUGUGGUCACCAGGAAGGACAGAGCAAGAGCCAUUUACAAAGGAGUCUACACAGAGAGAGAGCCCGAAGUUUAGCUCAGAAGAGCAGAUCCAACUCCCAGCCCGCUGGCGGGCUGGCGGGUCACACGGAGCCCCAACCAUGUGCCAAGGUAAGGACAAGGCAGUGGAGACGCCUGGGGGAGCAGGUGGAGGGAAGGCGCAGGCUCUCAACCUCCGGGAGCCUGCACGGGUCUCGGGAAGUGGCUCUGGAAGCGUGGUCUGUACCCAGCAGACGGGUAUCCAGGGGCCACCUGGGGACCAUCCAAGGCUGGAGGGGAAAAGGCCACCGCGGGGCAGCAGAAGGCAGAGGCAGGAGGACCCUUCGAGGGGCACGACAGGCCAGGAAAAAGGAUCAACUUCCUUAACUACGAUGUUUCACUGCAUACUGGUAACCAACACACUUACUUGCCUAUUUAAAAACUCCAGUGGUCAUUUUGUGAUGUAUGAAAAUAUCAAAUCACUGUGUUGUGCACAGGGAACUAACAUAGUGUUGUAGGUCAGUUAUACUUUAAACACACACACACACACACACACACACACAACAAUAACUCCACCAGUCCUCAGCAAAAUAGUUCUGGCCUUCCACCCCCUUGCAGAAAUUCACAGAUUUAAGACACUGGAUUAGGCCGUCGUUGUCUUUCAAGGGCUCGCCUCCCUGCACUGACACCUGGACACUUGACUACAUAUAGGCCACGUAUUUCAAGACGCAUUUCCCAGCUACUGCUAUACACAACUAAAGCCAGACCAAACCAUAGCAAAGAAAAUCCUAAGGAUCUGUUUAGGUUUGCAAUGUCGGCAGCGAAGUGCAAACAGAGCUGGCUCUGGUGAGAACUUCAGUUAUGAAAUAUAAAAAAAAAAAAAGAAAAUCCUAAGCAGUCCUUCACACCAGUUUUCCAGAAAACCCCACCAAAGGUGUAUUUCCCCUUCAACUUCUGACUUUACCAGGCUGUCAGGAAGCAAACCACCUGCUCUUUUCUAGAUGGAUCCAGAGAAAGGUCUGGUCUUAAACAAAGACCCUCCCCUCUCCACACUCCCCUCUCCCACCGCCGUCCCCACUCCCACCCACCACCUCAGUGACGGGGCCGCUGAGCCAGGAUCACUCAACCUGAAGACGGACAGAAAGGACCAGACUUCGAAGAGAGUUAGGAUUCGCCUCUGAGCACGUCGCUGCCAGGUGGAGGACUCUGGGCUCCCAGACACCCAGCUGUGACACCUCCCGCUGCAAAGAUGGUGAGAGGCUGUGCUGGUGGCCGAGAGCACUGCACACCCCCUCCUUCAGGAGACACUUGAAAGGGACCACACUCCCCCCUUGAAGCCCCAUCUCAAGCGGUAGAAUGUCCUCUCCAGUUUGGUCCUGCCUCCGACCCCAGAGUCUCCCCCAAGCCCUGGGGAAGGGGCGCCUCUGGCCUCUCCUAGGAGCUGAUGAUGUGGCCGGACCAGGUCUCGUGCUUGGUGCCCGGCGCCAGGUGGGUGAUGACCACCUCCACGGCCUGCAGCUUCUCGUUCUUGGGCGGGAUGGAGCACAUCUUAUAGGUGACCUCAUCGCCUUCCACGGGGACGUACUCCCCCUCCACGCUGUGGGGCGGGGAGAGAGCACUCAGGGCGGGCACUCAGAGAAGCCAGGACACCAGCCCUCGCAGAGGAACUGCCCCCCUGCCCUGCCACCAGGGGGCAUCACCAUGGCCCUCUGGUCGUGGCUGAGAAGCCCCAGACCCAAUCAGCUCCUUCCCUGGGACCUCGGUUGCUGAGACAGAGGUGGAGCCCCACCCCUUGGGGGUGCUCACAUUGCACGUUAAACGAGGGCACCGUGGGCCUGAUGGAGGGAAGAGCGGGGAAAGGCAGUCUGAGCCCGAGUUGGGGGAUGGCCCGGGUGAGGGUUUCCUGAGCAGCACCCCAACCCCCUGCCCCAUCCAGGAGUCCCAGAAACCAGGCUACCCCUCUGCUGUUCAACUCCUCAGAACCCCAGUGAGCUUUCCAGAAAGUCCUUUUCCCUUACUUUCUAUGGGACAUGAGUCACCGUCUCACCCGUGAUAGGGAGGUGCCCGGCUUGAUGCCCCCUUGAUGAAACCCCAGGAGGAAAAUCCCCUUCAGAUCCUGAGCACCAAGACCAGCCAGCUCCCCCGGAACUGGUUUGCCUUGACUGAAGAAUAACAUCGCAGAUGGUGCUGCCCUCUUUGAUUUGGCCACCAGGAAGCUCAGGAAUAAACGUGUAGCCCACUUCUA
Long non-coding RNA from Balaenoptera ricei (Rice's whale), 4193 nucleotides. RefSeq lists it as uncharacterized. The transcript is spliced from 3 exons. The record is from RefSeq and is a predicted model, not a curated record. NCBI's taxonomy places the organism in Eukaryota, Metazoa, Chordata, Mammalia, Artiodactyla, Balaenopteridae.